RNAcentral lists this long non-coding RNA (276 nucleotides) under Monodelphis domestica (gray short-tailed opossum). RNAcentral describes it as "lncRNA (ENSMODG00000038239.1)". The record is from RNAcentral. Lineage: Eukaryota; Metazoa; Chordata; Mammalia; Didelphimorphia; Didelphidae.
AUGGCUUUCAGGAAGUCAUAUGAUUAUUACAUCAUCUCCUUGAUCUGUUCUCCAGGUCAGAUCUUGUUUUUUUUCUUUUUCUUUUUUUCAGUCUUGAUUUUUUUUGUCUCAUAUGAUUUCUGUUCGGUCUCUUGUAGUUUUCAGGGAGUCCGUUUUUUGUUUUUUUUUUUUUUUUUUGUUUUUUUUUUUUUUUUUUUUUUUUUUUUUUUGGGGGGGGGGGGUUCCAAGGUGGUAUUAUCCAAGGAGAGAGGUAUGGUCGCAGCUUUUCUGGUCUGA